ACGAGUUCUCGUUGAUGAUCGGUGCUUGCACCGAGAUUCAACAUGGAACGAGUGGCGGACGGGUGAGUAACACGUGGGUAACCUGCCCUUAAGUGGGGGAUAACAUUUGGAAACAGAUGCUAAUACCGCAUAGAUCCAAGAACCGCAUGGUUCUUGGCUGAAAGAUGGCGUAAGCUAUCGCUUUUGGAUGGACCCGCGGCGUAUUAGCUAGUUGGUGAGGUAAUGGCUCACCAAGGCGAUGAUACGUAGCCGAACUGAGAGGUUGAUCGGCCACAUUGGGACUGAGACACGGCCCAAACUCCUACGGGAGGCAGCAGUAGGGAAUCUUCCACAAUGGACGCAAGUCUGAUGGAGCAACGCCGCGUGAGUGAAGAAGGCUUUCGGGUCGUAAAACUCUGUUGUUGGAGAAGAAUGGUCGGCAGAGUAACUGUUGCCGGCGUGACGGUAUCCAACCAGAAAGCCACGGCUAACUACGUGCCAGCAGCCGCGGUAGUACGUAGGUGGCAAGCGUUAUCCGGAUUUAUUGGGCGUAAAGCGAGCGCAGGCGGUUUUUUAAGUCUGAUGUGAAAG
RNAcentral lists this ribosomal RNA (570 nucleotides) under uncultured bacterium. RNAcentral describes it as "bacterial SSU rRNA". It matches the Rfam family "Bacterial small subunit ribosomal RNA", at positions 66 to 600 of the family's 1533-position model. The record is from RNAcentral.